AACGUACGCUGGCGGCACGCCUAACACAUGCAAGUCGAGCGAGGUAGCAAUACCUAGCGGCAGACGGGUGCGUAACAUGUGGGAAUCUGCCUUUUGGUUCGGAACAACACGGGGAAACCUGUGCUAAUACCGGAUAAGUCCUUACGGAGAAAGUUUUAAUGCCAAAAGAUGAGCCCGCAUUUGAUUAGCUAGUUGGUGAGGCAAAAGCUCACCAAGGCGAUAAUCAAUAGCUGAUUUGAGAGGAUGAUCAGCCACACUGGGACUGAGAUACGGCCCAGACUCCUACGGGAGGCAGCAGUGGGGAAUCUUGCACAAUGGGCGAAAGCCUGAUGCAGCGAUGCCGCGUGAGUGAAGAAGGCCUUUGGGUUGUAAAGCUCUUUUGUCGGGAAAGAUAAUGACUGUACCCGAAGAAUAAGGUCCGGCUAACUUCGUGCCAGCAGCCGCGGUAAUACGAAGGGACCUAGCGUAGUUCGGAAUUACUGGGCGUAAAGAGUAUGUAGGCGGCUAGACAAGUUAAUUGUGAAAGCCCAAAGCUUAACUUUGGAAUUGCAAUUAAAACUAUUUAGCUGGAGUAUGAUAGAGGAAAGCGGAAUACAUAGUGUAGAGGUGAAAUUCGUAGAUAUUAUGUAGAACACCAGUUGCGAAGGCGGCUUUCUGGAUCAUUACUGACGCUGAGAUACGAAAGUAUGGGUAGCGAAGAGGAUUAGAUACCCUCGUAGUCCAUACCAUAAACGAUGAUUAUUAGAUGUGGGGAAUUAUUUUUCUGUAUCAUAGCUAACGCGUUAAAUAAUCCGCCUGGGGAGUACGACCGCAAGGUUAAAACUCAAAUGAAUUGACGGGGACCCGCACAAGCGGUGGAGCAUGUGGUUUAAUUCGAAGCAACGCGCAGAACCUUACCAACCCUUGACAUGUUCGUCGCGAGACUAAGAAAUUAGUCUCU
Molecule: ribosomal RNA, 940 nt
Filed under: uncultured bacterium
Lineage: Bacteria
Description: bacterial SSU rRNA
Rfam family: Bacterial small subunit ribosomal RNA
Source: RNAcentral